This 450-nucleotide ribosomal RNA is filed under the name uncultured bacterium. RNAcentral describes it as "partial 16S ribosomal RNA". It matches the Rfam family "Bacterial small subunit ribosomal RNA", at positions 354 to 796 of the family's 1533-position model. The record is from RNAcentral.
GUGGGGAAUCUUCCGCAAUGGACGAAAGUCUGACGGAGCAACGCCGCGUGAGUGAUGAAGGUCUUCGGAUUGUAAAGCUCUGUUAAUCGGGACGAAAGAGCCUAGUGUGAAUAAUGCUAGGAAGUGACGGUACCGGAAUAGAAAGCCACGGCUAACUACGUGCCAGCAGCCGCGGUAAUACGUAGGUGGCAAGCGUUGUCCGGAAUUAUUGGGCGUAAAGCGCGCGCAGGCGGAUUUGCCAGUCUGUCUUAAAAGUUCGGGGCUUAACCCCGUGAUGGGAUGGAAACUACAGAUCUAGAGUAUCGGAGAGGAAAGUGGAAUUCCUAGUGUAGCGGUGAAAUGCGUAGAUAUUAGGAAGAACACCAGUGGCGAAGGCGACUUUCUGGACGAAAACUGACGCUGAGGCGCGAAAGCCAGGGGAGCGAACGGGAUUAGAAACCCGUGUAGUCC